RNAcentral lists this ribosomal RNA (253 nucleotides) under uncultured bacterium. Its description in RNAcentral is "partial 16S ribosomal RNA". It matches the Rfam family "Bacterial small subunit ribosomal RNA", at positions 524 to 776 of the family's 1533-position model. The record is from RNAcentral.
UACAGAGGUCCCGAGCGUUGUUCGGAUUCAUUGGGCGUAAAGGGUGCGUAGGCGGCGUGGUAAGUCUGAUGUGAAAUCCUGGGGCUCAACCCCAGAACUGCAUUGGAUACUGCCGAGCUCGAGUCCGGAAGAGGCGAGUGGAAUUCCUGGUGUAGCGGUGAAAUGCGCAGAUAUCAGGAGGAACACCAAUGGCGAAGGCAGCUCGCUGGGACGUGACUGACGCUGAGACGCGAAAGCGUGGGGAGCAAACAGG